AGUGAACGCUGGCGGUAGGCCUAACACAUGCAAGUCGAACGGCAGCACAGUAAGAGCUUGCUCUUACGGGUGGCGAGUGGCGGACGGGUGAGGAAUACAUCGGAAUCUACUUUUUCGUGGGGGAUAACGUAGGGAAACUUACGCUAAUACCGCAUACGACCUACGGGUGAAAGCAGGGGAUCUUCGGACCUUGCGCGAUUGAAUGAGCCGAUGUCGGAUUAGCUAGUUGGCGGGGUAAAGGCCCACCAAGGCGACGAUCCGUAGCUGGUCUGAGAGGAUGAUCAGCAAAACUGGAACUGAGAAACGGUCAAGACUCCUACGGGAGGCAGCAGUGGGGAAUAUUGGACAAUGGGCGCAAGCCUGAUCCAGCCAUACCGCGUGGGUGAAGAAGGCCUUCGGGUUGUAAAGCCCUUUUGUUGGGAAAGAAAAGCAGCAGGUUAAUACCCCGCUGUUCUGACGGUACCAAAAGAAUAAGCACCGGCUAACUUCGU
RNAcentral lists this ribosomal RNA (491 nucleotides) under uncultured bacterium. RNAcentral describes it as "partial 16S ribosomal RNA". It matches the Rfam family "Bacterial small subunit ribosomal RNA", at positions 29 to 506 of the family's 1533-position model. The record is from RNAcentral.